This 550-nucleotide ribosomal RNA is filed under the name Debaryomyces nepalensis. RNAcentral's name for it is "partial large subunit ribosomal RNA". It matches the Rfam family "Eukaryotic large subunit ribosomal RNA", at positions 62 to 629 of the family's 3401-position model. Lineage: Eukaryota; Fungi; Ascomycota; Pichiomycetes; Serinales; Debaryomycetaceae. The record is from RNAcentral.
AAACCAACAGGGAUUGCCUUAGUAACGGCGAGUGAAGCGGCAAAAGCUCAAAUUUGAAAUCUGGCGCCUUCGGUGUCCGAGUUGUAAUUUGAAGAAGGUAACUUUGGAGUUGGCUCUUGUCUAUGUUCCUUGGAACAGGACGUCACAGAGGGUGAGAAUCCCGUGCGAUGAGAUGCCCAACUCUAUGUAAAGUGCUUUCGAAGAGUCGAGUUGUUUGGGAAUGCAGCUCUAAGUGGGUGGUAAAUUCCAUCUAAAGCUAAAUAUUGGCGAGAGACCGAUAGCGAACAAGUACAGUGAUGGAAAGAUGAAAAGAACUUUGAAAAGAGAGUGAAAAAGUACGUGAAAUUGUUGAAAGGGAAGGGCUUGAGAUCAGACUUGGUAUUUUGCGAUCCUUUCCUUCUUGGUUGGGUUCUCCGCAGCUUACUGGGCCAGCAUCGGUUUGGAUGGUAGGAUAAUGAUUAAGGAAUGUGGCUCUACUUCGGUGGAGUGUUAUAGCCUUGGUUGAUACUGCCUGUCUAGACCGAGGACUGCGUCUUGACUAGGAUGCUGC